UCUCCGGGUUCCUGCUGGUCGUUCGGCUCCUGGGCCGAGCUCUUUGGCGGCUUGCGGAGAGCUGGUUUGCUGACCCAAACAGACGGACAGACAGAUGACUUAUGGGAAGCUCCUGAGUCACGCCUGCUCCCAUAGCCAGCUGCCUUCUCCCUGCUCUGAGGAAGCGCAACUACAUCCUUGUGGCAGGAAGUCCUCACAAGGGCCUGUCUACACAGCACAUUCCUGCAGGAACGGGCCGUGGAAGCGUGUUAUGUCAGGAUUCCUCGGCGCCUCUGACGGACCCCUUUGGGUAGUCAAGGUUCUCGUGUACUUUCUUAAUUCCUGUAAUUGGGUGAGCGAAACGACAAACCAUCUGGGGCUCUUGGGGUAGUGCUCCGCAUGUUUAAGCGGUCAGAAACCCUGAUGUAGGUGAAGGAGGACUUGGAAUCACCUUGAUGCUCAGCCCUUGCACCACAAUAUCAUGCACUGAAGGUUACUUGAAAAAAAAAACCUCAUAAAAAAAGAAUGAAUUUCAACCAACCCCAGGUGACUCGGGAUUUCGGUUAUAAUCCAGCAUGAAGACUACAUCUGCUCUUUGCUUCUCCUCAUCUGCAGUGUUCGUCAUCUUACGUAGAUGUUGCUGCUCAGGAGCUCAUUCCCCAAGAGCUGUCAGUGGAAUCUACUCAGUUAACUUUGUGUGAGGAGAUACUGCCUUGAUGUCUUUGUAGUGUGUGUGUGUGUGUGUGUGUGUGUGUGUGUGUGUGUAUUAGAGAGAGAAAGAGAGAAUUGGGAGGCAUUGGUAAUAUUUUCUGAUACUUUACAAAUUUAAAGUCAAAUUCCCUGGACGGCACAAGCAUCUCCCUCUUUUAUCCAUUUAAGACAGAUCAUCGAGAGAUUGCUCUAUGUGAUCAUCAUGUAUUUCUCAAAAUGAAACUAUUGAGGACAGGGGUAAUCCAUCCGUACCCUGUGAAGACCACAGCGUGUGUGGAGAACAUGUCCAGACCUUGAGAUAACAGCGGGGGAUAAGCCGUGUACACAGGCAUCGCAUCUUUGGGAAGACACGUGAACCUCCUGGAAAGAUGAUGGACAUGGGAAGAACUCUGUUGUUGAAAAGGGAAUCAUACCUUGGGAGAGUGAAAUUAGUGUGGGGCGCCAAAUCCUGAACUAUCCAUAGCUUCCUGAUUUUACCUUUGAUGAUAUUGGUGACUCCCUAACCAAAAA
Long non-coding RNA from Phyllostomus hastatus (greater spear-nosed bat), 1200 nucleotides. RefSeq lists it as uncharacterized. NCBI's taxonomy places the organism in Eukaryota, Metazoa, Chordata, Mammalia, Chiroptera, Phyllostomidae. The record is from RefSeq and is a predicted model, not a curated record. The transcript has 2 exons.